This 490-nucleotide ribosomal RNA is filed under the name uncultured bacterium. Its description in RNAcentral is "partial 16S ribosomal RNA". It matches the Rfam family "Bacterial small subunit ribosomal RNA", at positions 28 to 523 of the family's 1533-position model. The record is from RNAcentral.
GACGAACGCUGGCGGCGUGCUUAACACAUGCAAGUCGAACGAUGAACCCGGAGCUUGCUCCGGUGGAUUAGUGGCGAACGGGUGAGUAACACGUGAGUAACCUGCCCUUGACUCUGGGAUAACUGCGGGAAACUGUAGCUAAUACCGGAUACGACCCUCGGCGGCAUCGCCAGGGGGUGGAAAGAAUUUCGGUCAAGGAUGGACUCGCGGCCUAUCAGCUAGUUGGUGAGGUAACGGCUCACCAAGGCGACGACGGGUAGCCGGCCUGAGAGGGUGACAGGCCACAUUGGGACUGAGACACGGCCCAAACUCCUACGGGAGGCAGCAGUGGGGAAUAUUGCACAAUGGGCGCAAGCCUGAUGCAGCGACGCCGCGUGAGCGAAGAAGUAUUUCGGUAUGUAAAGCUCUAUCAGCAGGGAAGAAAGACGAAAGUCAAGGACGGUACCUGACUAAGAAGCUCCGGCUAAAUACGUGCCAGCAGCCGCAGUAA